AGUUGAUCAUGGCUCAGAUUGACGYGGCGGCAGGCCUAACACCAUGCAAGUCGAGCGGAUGAAGGGAGCUUGCUCCCGGAUUCAGCGGCGGACGGGUGAGUAAAUGCCUAGGAAUCUGCCUGGUAGUGGGGGACAACGUUUCGAAAGGAACGCUAAUCCGCAUACGUCCUACGGGAGAAAAGCAGGGGACCUUCGGGCCUUGCGCUAUCAGAUGAGCCUAGGUCGGAUUAGCUAGUUGGUGAGGUAAUGGGCUCACCAAGGCGACGAUCCGUAACUGGUCUGAGAGGAUGAUCAGUCACACUGGAACUGAGACACGGUCCAGACUCCUACGGGAGGCAGCAGUGGGGAAUAUUGGACAAUGGGCGAAAGCCUGAUCCAGCCAUGCCGCGUGUGUGAAGAAGGUCUUCGGAUUGUAAAGCACUUUAAGUUGGGAGGAAGGGUUGUAGAUUAAUACUCUGCAAUUUUGACGUUACCGACAGAAUAAGCACCGGCUAACUCUGUGCCAGCAGCCGCGGUAAUACAGAGGGUGCAAGCGUUAAUCGGAAUUACUGGGCGUAAAGCGCGCGUAGGUGGUUCGUUAAGUUGGAUGUGAAAUCCCCGGGCUCAACCUGGGAACUGCAUCCAAAACUGGCGAGCUAGAGUAUGGUAGAGGGUGGUGGAAUUUCCUGUGUAGCGGUGAAAUGCGUAGAUAUAGGAAGGAACACCAGUGGCGAAGGCGACCACCUGGACUGAUACUGACACUGAGGUGCGAAAGCGUGGGGAGCAAACAGGAUUAGAUACCCUGGUAGUCCACGCCGUAAACGAUGUCAACUAGCCGUUGGGAGCCUUGAGCUCUUAGUGGCGCAGCUAACGCAUUAA
This 858-nucleotide ribosomal RNA is filed under the name Pseudomonas sp. RNAcentral's name for it is "bacterial SSU rRNA". The record is from RNAcentral. Lineage: Bacteria; Pseudomonadati; Pseudomonadota; Gammaproteobacteria; Pseudomonadales; Pseudomonadaceae.